Molecule: ribosomal RNA, 614 nt
Rfam family: Bacterial large subunit ribosomal RNA (bases 1-323)
CCUUCGGGGGUAGAGCACUGUUUCGGCUAGGGGGUCAUCCCGACUUACCAACCCGAUGCAAACUGCGAAUACCGAAGAGUAAUGUCUAGGAGACACACGGCGGGUGCUAACGUUCGUCGUGAAGAGGGAAACAACCCAGACCGCCAGCUAAGGUCCCAAAGUACUAGUUAAGUGGGAAACGAAGUGGGAAGGCUUAGACAGCUAGGAUGUUGGCUUAGAAGCAGCCAUCAUUUAAAGAAAGCGUAAUAGCUCACUAGUCGAGUCGGCCUGCGCGGAAGAUGUAACGGGGCUAAAACUAGUCACCGAAGCUGCGGCAUUCAGGGAGCAGGUUUCAGGGUUCAGGCUACAGGAGUCAGGGCAUGGUAAAACGAUUUGAAGAUUUAAAUGUAUUUCAAAAAGCGUAUCGGGUUUCAUUAGAAAUUCAUCAAGCGACAUUAAAUUUUCCAAAAGUAGAACAAUUUGCCUUGGCUGACCAACUAAGACGUUCAAGUAAAAGCAUCUGUGCAAAUCUGGCAGAAGGUUUUGCGAAGCAACGUUCAUCUGCUGAGUUUAGACGUUAUAUUGCCAUGGCAAUAGGCAGUGCAGAUGAGACACGAGUUUGGUUAAGAUAUUGU